CCAAAGCCCAAAUGUUACUGGUGUUUGUUAGACAUUCUCACAAAAAGGUCUCUUAAUCCAAAAUGCGGCUUCUCAUCUGGUCCUUAUGUCUCUCUAUUGUCUCCCUGGAAGUAGCCUCAGCUUCAGAACCGUAUUAUGCAAUUACAAUACCUGCUCAGAUGGUCUACCCCUCACUGGAGAGAGCAUGUGUUACUAUCUUGAAAAUGAAGGGGGCGCUACAGCUCAAAAUGACGUUAAAGAGAGAACAGAAAAGUAUUUUGGUGACAGAGGACACAGUCAACACCCCCCACGUAUUUUCACUGUUAUUCUUUUCAGCUCCCUACCGUAGUGGAUGAAGAAGAGGUCUGGUUUUUUCAUGUUUCUGCUCAUGGAGACAACAUUAACGUCAAUCAGACCAAGAAGAUCUUGCUCAUGAAAGGAACUCAUUUGACUUUCAUUCAGACUAAUAAACCAAUCUAUAAG
Molecule: long non-coding RNA, 462 nt
Organism: Bufo gargarizans (Asiatic toad)
Lineage: Eukaryota; Metazoa; Chordata; Amphibia; Anura; Bufonidae
Exons: 3
Source: RefSeq, a predicted model, not a curated record